UUCCGUAGGGUGAACCUGCGGAAGGAUCAUUAAUGAAUUUGAAAGGAGUUGUUGCUGGCUUGUCAACCCAAGCAUGUGCACACUCCAAUCUCAUCCAUCUUACACCUGUGCACCCUUGCGUGGGUCCGUCGGCUUUGCGGUCGUUCGGGCUUGCGUUUUUUCUCUAAACUCUUAUGUAUGUAACAGAAUGUCUUAAUGCUAUAAACGCAUCUUAUACAACUUUCAACAACGGAUCUCUUGGCUCUCGCAUCGAUGAAGAACGCAGCGAAAUGCGAUAAGUAAUGUGAAUUGCAGAAUUCAGUGAAUCAUCGAAUCUUUGAACGCACCUUGCGCCCCUUGGUAUUCCGAGGGGCACGCCUGUUCGAGUGUCGUGAAAUUCUCAACUCAAUCCUCUUGUUAUGAGAGGGCUGGGCUUGGACUUGGAGGUCUUGCCGGUUGUGUUCCCUCGGGACGUCGGCUCCUCUCGAAUGCAUGAGUGGAUCCCAUUAAGUCGGGUUUGCCCUUCGCGUGAUACUUACAUACGCCACCCAUGGCGCUGCGCGUUGGUGAGGUUCUAGCCGGGAGUCAGGACAUGCUAUCUCUACAUGACCUCGAAACAUUCUCUGAUGCCUGCUUAUUCCCCGCAUAUCAUAACGGGGAAGG
This 642-nucleotide ribosomal RNA is filed under the name Hericium coralloides. Its description in RNAcentral is "eukaryotic LSU rRNA". The stretch from base 218 to 371 matches the Rfam family "5.8S ribosomal RNA". The record is from RNAcentral. Lineage: Eukaryota; Fungi; Basidiomycota; Agaricomycetes; Russulales; Hericiaceae.